This 253-nucleotide ribosomal RNA is filed under the name uncultured bacterium. RNAcentral describes it as "partial 16S ribosomal RNA". It matches the Rfam family "Bacterial small subunit ribosomal RNA", at positions 524 to 776 of the family's 1533-position model. The record is from RNAcentral.
UACAUAGGUCUCAAGCGUUGUUCGGAUUCAUUGGGCGUAAAGGGUGCGUAGGCGGCUCGGUAAGUCGGGUGUGAAAUCUCGGAGCUUAACUCCGAAACUGCAUUCGAUACUGCCGUGCUUGAGGACUGGAGAGGAGACUGGAAUUUACGGUGUAGCGGUGAAAUGCGUAGAUAUCGAGAGGAACACCGGCGGCGAAGGCGGGUUGCUGGGCCGACACUGACGCUGAUGCGCGAAAGCCAGGGGAGCGAACGGG